UGAGGAAUAUUGGUCAAUGGACGAGAGUCUGAACCAGCCAAGUAGCGUGAAGGAUGACUGCCCUAUGGGUUGUAAACUUCUUUUAUACGGGAAUAAAGUGAGGCACGUGUGCCUUUUUGUAUGUACCGUAUGAAUAAGGAUCGGCUAACUCCGUGCCAGCAGCCGCGGUAAUACGGAGGAUCCGAGCGUUAUCCGGAUUUAUUGGGUUUAAAGGGAGCGUAGGCGGACGCUUAAGUCAGUUGUGAAAGUUUGCGGCUCAACCGUAAAAUUGCAGUUGAUACUGGGUGUCUUGAGUACAGUAGAGGCAGGCGGAAUUCGUGGUGUAGCGGUGAAAUGCUUAGAUAUCACGAAGAACUCCGAUUGCGAAGGCAGCUUGCUGGACUGUAACUGACGCUGAUGCUCGAAAGUGUGGGUAUCAAACAGGAUUAGAUACCCUGGUAGUCCACACAGUAAACGAUGAAUACUCGCUGUUUGCGAUAUACAGUAAGCGGCCAAGCGAAAGCGUUAAGUAUUCCACCUGGGGAGUACGCCGGCAACGGUGAAACUCAAAGGAAUUGACGGGGGCCCGCACAAGCGGAGGAACAUGUGGUUUAAUUCGAUGAUACGCGAGGAACCUUACCCGGGCUUGAAUUGCAACUGAAUGAUGUGGAGACAUGUCAGCCGCAAGGCAGUUGUGAAGGUGCUGCAUGGUUGUCGUCAGCUCGUGCCGUGAGGUGUCGGCUUAAGUGCCAUAACGAGCGCAACCCUUAUCGAUAGUUACCAUCAGGUUAUGCUGGGGACUCUGUCGAGACUGCCGUCGUAAGAUGUGAGGAAGGUGGGGAUGACGUCAAAUCAGCACGGCCCUUACGUCCGGGGCUACACACGUGUUACAAUGGGGGGUACAGAAGGCAGCUACACGGCGACGUGGUGCUAAUCCCGAAAGCCUCUCUCAGUUCGGAUUGGAGUCUGCAACCCGACUCCAUGAAGCUGGAUUCGCUAGUAAUCGCGCAUCAGCCACGGCGCGGUGAAUACGUUCCC
Molecule: ribosomal RNA, 1017 nt
Filed under: uncultured organism
Description: bacterial SSU rRNA
Rfam family: Bacterial small subunit ribosomal RNA
Source: RNAcentral